This 257-nucleotide unclassified non-coding RNA is filed under the name uncultured fungus. Its description in RNAcentral is "sequence contains 18S rRNA gene, ITS1, 5.8S rRNA gene". The stretch from base 1 to 52 matches the Rfam family "Eukaryotic small subunit ribosomal RNA", at positions 1780 to 1831 of the family's 1831-position model. The record is from RNAcentral. Lineage: Eukaryota; Fungi.
AAGUAAAAGUCGUAACAAGGUUUCCGUAGGUGAACCUGCGGAAGGAUCAUUCACAAUGAGUGUUUUAUGGCACUCUUUAAAAAUCCAUAUCCACCUUGUGUGCAAUGUUUGUGGGAGAGAGGCAACUCUUUCCCUUCACAAAUAUCAACCUAUAUCUUUAACAACAUUCGUCUGAUAACAUAUUAUGAAUAUACUUAAUUCAAAAUAUAACUUUCAACAACGGAUCUCUUGGCUCUCGCAUCGAUGAAGAACGCAGC